RNAcentral lists this long non-coding RNA (763 nucleotides) under Capsicum annuum. Its description in RNAcentral is "long non-coding RNA (CANN_LNC019693)". Lineage: Eukaryota; Viridiplantae; Streptophyta; Magnoliopsida; Solanales; Solanaceae. The record is from RNAcentral.
CUUUUGGGGCUACUUUACCGUAAAUAUAUAGGGGGUAAAUAUUCCUUUAAAAGGCAUCUCCAGUAUCCUAAUAAAUUCAUGGGAUAUUCAUAAAGAUCAAAACCCUCUCUUCUUGAUAAUCAAUCAAAUCCAAAUGUUCACGUUCGAGAAAUAUGCUACUAACGGCCCUCGAAUUUCGGAGAAAUUUAUAUCCAAAUCUUCGUACAUUUGAGAAAUAUGCUACUGACGCCCUCGAAUUACGGAGAAAAUCAUUUAUAUCCAAAUCUUCAUACAUUUAAGAAAUAUGCUACUGAUGACCCUCAAAUUACGGAGAAAAUCAAGGAGAUCAAAUCAAGAAGACAAACCCUCCUUUCAUGGAGAUCAAAUCCAAAUGUUCACGUUUGAGAAAUACGCCACUAACGACCCUCGAAUUACGGAGAAAUUUAUAUCCAAAUCUUCAUAUAUUCGAGAAAUAUGCUACUGACGGCCCUCGAAUUAUGGAGAAAAUCAUUUAUAUCCAAAUCUUUAUACAUUCGAGAAAUAUGCUACUGACGGCCCUCAAAUUACGAAGAAAAUCAAGAGAGAAGAAUCAAGGGAGAAAAAGAAGAAUAAGGGAGGAACAGAUUUGUACCCCAUCGUUUAUCAAUAAAAUUGUUGUUUUUUCAUAAUUUUAUUUGUGGUUGAAGUUUUUUUUUUUCAUGAAUUAAAUUAUGUUACUGUUAUUUUUUCAUAUUUUUAUUUGUGGUUGAAGUUUAUUUUUUAUAAAUUAAAUUAUGUUGGAAAC